GAGGCAGUAGCUCAGUGUUAGAGCUCCCGAUUCAAAUGGGGGAAGACCGGGUUCGAUUCUCGACUGCUUCC
Molecule: transfer RNA, 71 nt
Filed under: Toxocara canis (dog roundworm)
Lineage: Eukaryota; Metazoa; Nematoda; Chromadorea; Rhabditida; Toxocaridae
Rfam family: tRNA
About the family: Transfer RNA (tRNA) molecules are approximately 80 nucleotides in length.
Source: Rfam by way of RNAcentral